UUCAGAAUGCAGCAGCACGUGUACUAACAGGAACUAAGAAACGAGAUCAUAUUUCUCCUGUUUUAGCUUCUCUGCACUGGCUCCCUGUAAAAUCCAGAAUUGAAUUUAAAACCCUACUGUUAACUUAUAAAGCUCUAAAUGGUCAAGCUCCGUCAUAUCUUAGAGAGCUCAUAGUGCCAUAUUAUCCCACCAGAACACUGCGCUCUGAGAACGCAGGGUUACUCGUGGUCCCUAAAGUCUCCAAAAGUAGAUCAGGAGCCAGAGCCUUCAGCUAUCAGGCUCCUCUCCUGUGGAAUCAGCUUCCUGUUACGGUCCGGGAGGCAGACACCGUCUCCACAUUUAAGACUAGACUUAAGACUUUCCUCUUUGAUAAAGCUUAUAGUUAGGGCUGGCUCAGGCUUGCCCUGUACCAGCCCCUAGUUAGGAUGACUUAGGCCUAGUCUGCCGGAGGACCCCCCAUAAUACACCGGGCACCUUCUCUCCUUCUCUCUCUCUCUCUCUCUCUCUCUCUCUCUUUCUCUCGUAUUCUAUUACUGCAUCUUGCUAACUCGGCCAUUCUGGAUGUCACUAACUCGGCUUCUUCUCCGGAGCCUUUGUGCUCCACUGUCUCUCAGAUUAACUCAUAUCACAGCGGUGCCUGGACAGCGUGACGUGUGUGGUUGUGCUGCUGCCGUGGUCCUGCCAGAUGCCUCCUGCUGCUGCUGCCAUCAUUAGUCAUUAGUCAUACUUCUACUGUUAUUAUACACAUAUGACUAUUGUCACACAUGUAUACUGCCAGAUAUUAAUACAUACUUUCAACAUAUUGUACCGCAGUAGCCAGAACUAUAACUAUAAUAUUAUUACUUUCAUUAAUGUUGUUGUAAGCUACUGUCAUUACCUGCAUCUCUCUCUCUCUCUCUCUCUCUCUCUCUCUCUCUCUCUCUCUCUGUCUCAUUGUGUCAUGUGGAUUACUGUUAAUUUAUCAUGCUGAUCUGUUCUGUACGACAUCUAUUGCACGUCUGUCCGUCCUGGAAGAGGGAUCCCUCCUCAGUUGCUCUUCCUGAGGUUUCUACCGUUUUUUCCCCGUUAAAGGGUUUUUUGGGGAGUUUUUCCUGAUCAGCUGUGAGGGUCAUAAUGACAGAGGGAUGUCGUAUGCUGUAAAGCCCUGUGAGGCAAAUUGUGAUUUGUGAUAUUGGGCUUUAUAAAUAAAAUUGAUUGAUUGAUUGAUUUGU
This is a long non-coding RNA of Epinephelus fuscoguttatus (brown-marbled grouper), 1211 nucleotides long. RefSeq lists it as uncharacterized. Lineage: Eukaryota; Metazoa; Chordata; Actinopteri; Perciformes; Serranidae. The record is from RefSeq and is a predicted model, not a curated record. The transcript has 2 exons.